Molecule: transfer RNA, 95 nt
Filed under: Blumeria graminis f. sp. tritici
Lineage: Eukaryota; Fungi; Ascomycota; Leotiomycetes; Helotiales; Erysiphaceae
Also listed under: 1 other name
Rfam family: tRNA
About the family: Transfer RNA (tRNA) molecules are approximately 80 nucleotides in length.
Source: Rfam by way of RNAcentral
GGACAGAUGGCCGAGCUGGUUAUGGCGCCAGGUUAAGGUUGUACGCUUAAAUCCUGGUCACGCAAGUGGCGUGGGUUCGAGUCCCACUCUGUUCA